AACUUAUGAAGAAAGGUGGAGGGAUAGGCCCUGUGAAACCUUGGCAACCUCCGCUCGCGGAAUAGGUGCCAAAUCCAAUUAGCCAACGGCUGAAAAGAUAAGUA
This 104-nucleotide non-coding RNA is filed under the name Fluviicola sp. RNAcentral describes it as "SAM-I sequence". It matches the Rfam family "SAM riboswitch aptamer (S box leader)". Rfam says of the family: The SAM riboswitch is found upstream of a number of genes which code for proteins involved in methionine or cysteine biosynthesis in Gram-positive bacteria. The SAM riboswitch acts at the level of transcription termination control. Lineage: Bacteria; Pseudomonadati; Bacteroidota; Flavobacteriia; Flavobacteriales; Crocinitomicaceae. The record is from RNAcentral.